UACGGGGGGGGCAAGCGUUGUUCGGAAUUACUGGGCGUAAAGGGCUCGUAGGCGGCCCACUAAGUCAGACGUGAAAUCCCUCGGCUUAACCGGGGAACUGCGUCUGAUACUGGAGGGCUUGAGUUUGGGAGAGGGAUGCGGAAUUCCAGGUGUAGCGGUGAGAUGCGUAGAUAUCUGGAGGAACACCGGUGGCGAAGGCGGCAUCCUGGACCAACACUGACGCUGAGGAGCGAAAGCCAGGGGAGCAAACGGG
Molecule: ribosomal RNA, 253 nt
Filed under: uncultured bacterium
Lineage: Bacteria
Description: partial 16S ribosomal RNA
Rfam family: Bacterial small subunit ribosomal RNA
Source: RNAcentral